RNAcentral lists this unclassified non-coding RNA (190 nucleotides) under uncultured Trametes. RNAcentral describes it as "sequence contains ITS2". The record is from RNAcentral. Lineage: Eukaryota; Fungi; Basidiomycota; Agaricomycetes; Polyporales; Polyporaceae.
AAUUCUCAACUUAUAAAUCCUUGUGAUCUAUAAGCUUGGACUUGGAGGCUUGCUGGCCCUUGCGGUCGGCUCCUCUUGAAUGCAUUAGCUCGAUUCCGUACGGAUCGGCUCUCAGUGUGAUAAUUGUCUACGCUGUGACCGUGAAGUGUUUUGGCGAGCUUCUAACCGUCCAUUAGGACAACUUUUUAAC